RNAcentral lists this ribosomal RNA (316 nucleotides) under uncultured bacterium. Its description in RNAcentral is "bacterial SSU rRNA". It matches the Rfam family "Bacterial small subunit ribosomal RNA", at positions 28 to 334 of the family's 1533-position model. The record is from RNAcentral.
GAUGAACGCUAGCUACAGGCUUAACACAUGCAAGUCGGGCGGCAGCGGGGUGGGAGCUUGCUCCCACUGCCGGCGAGCGGCGCACGGGUGAGUAACACGUAUGCAACCUGCCCCUGUCAGGGGGACAACCCGCCGAAAGGCGGGCUAAGCCCGCGUAUAUCUCCCCGGGGCAUCCCGGGGGGAGGAAAGGAGCGAUCCGGACAGGGAUGGGCAUGCGGCGCAUUAGCUGGUCGGCGGGGUAACGGCCCACCGAGGCGACGAUGCGUAGGGGUUCUGAGAGGAAGGCCCCCCACACUGGUACUGAGACACGGACCAG